AUUGAACGCUGGCGGCAGGCCUGACACAUGCAAGUCGAGCGGAUGACGGGAGCUUGCUCCUUGAUUCAGCGGCGGACGGGUGAGUAAUGCCUAGGAAUCUGCCUGGUAGUGGGGGACAACGUUUCGAAAGGAACGCUAAUACCACAUACGUCCUACGGGAGAAAGCAGGGGACCUUCGGGCCUUGCGCUAUCAGAUGAGCCUAGGUCGGAUUAGCUAGUAGGUGAGGUAAUGGCUCACCUAGGCGACGAUCCGUAACUGGUCUGAGAGGAUGAUCAGUCACACUGGAACUGAGACACGGUCCAGACUCCUACGGGAGGCAGCAGUGGGGAAUAUUGGACAAUGGGCGAAAGCCUGAUCCAGCCAUGCCGCGUGUGUGAAGAAGGUCUUCGGAUUGUAAAGCACUUUAAGUUGGGAGGAAGGGCUGUAAGUUAAUACCUUGCAGUUUUGACGUUACCGACAGAAUAAGCACCGGCUAACUUCGUGCCAGCCGCCGCCGUAA
This 500-nucleotide ribosomal RNA is filed under the name uncultured bacterium. Its description in RNAcentral is "partial 16S ribosomal RNA". It matches the Rfam family "Bacterial small subunit ribosomal RNA", at positions 30 to 523 of the family's 1533-position model. The record is from RNAcentral.